UGUUUUGCCUUCAGAGCGUAUCCUCGGGCAGGAGACAACACUGCUACAAACUGGCUCAGGGGUCAAGGGACAGGAGUACAGACACAACAUUUACUUUACAUCAAAAAUACUAAAUCUAUGAAGUGAGUUGCUCAGCAAUGAAAGCAGUGCAAAGACGUUUGCUGUGAUGGUGUUGAAGAUGCAAAAGAAUGCUGUGAGCCAGGGGUUGGAAGAAAGCCAGAGCGAGUGCAUGGACCAACUGUUGUACCUUGGAAGGCCCAAGUGGAUCCAGCUGAUUACCCUCUCCCACCACAGAAAACUUACAGGGGAGCUUCUGUUUUCUCCCAACCUGUAUCCCCCUUUUACAGGCGACAUCAUCAGAAAAUCAGAAACAUAUUUGCGCAUGUUGGCGACAGAAGUGGCACAUCACCCCGGCUGUCAAACCAGGUACCAAGCAUUCAAACAUUCAAUUCAAACCGUUUUUCUACAACAUUUUUCGGGUUGUUUCACUUUCGGUUGUCAGAUUCUAAAUUCCAAAAGAAGCCUACAGAAUCCGGAUGAGGUCUCGACUGCUCCAGGGUAGCAGCAGGUGUUUCAAUUAAUCCGGUGACCCAGUCAAAUGGAGACUCUCCGCCGAUUGCGGCCAUAGUCACUCGUAGUGACUGGUGUAAAUGGUUGGCUGAGAUUACAAACACAGGUGCGGGUGUGAUAAAAAAUUGAGAGCUCUCAGAGCGUGGAAGUACCAAGCAGAAUCCCCGGUGCUGCUACCGGACUGCUGCAGAGAUCCAAGGAGGUGAACAACAUUCUGUGGAAAGACGGCAACGUGUAUUUUCUGCUUCCACCCCAUAACGAUAUACUGUAUAUGCUGACCUCCGCUUUUCACCAGAGGUGUGAGGAGUUCUACAACGCCUGGAUCGGCAACGUAGUUGCUAGACAGUAUUACAGCCUCUGGAUACUUCUUCCACCACUGGUUUUGACAUCUUGUAAGACGGGCGACUCAACCUUUCCAGUUAGCUGAUUGGGGACCAGCUGGCUGUACAGUUCUCAGACCUCCAGCAGCUGUUUGUGCCUAAAGAAGAGUGGCAGGACGACCCAGAGCCCCCCUAUAUUAAAGAGUAUACAGGUCCAGAUGGACCUUCAGUACCAGAACUGAUGCGAUGAUUUGAAUGAGACCAGAGAUCCUCAAU
Gasterosteus aculeatus aculeatus (three-spined stickleback) is the source of this 1166-nucleotide long non-coding RNA. Lineage: Eukaryota; Metazoa; Chordata; Actinopteri; Perciformes; Gasterosteidae. The record is from Ensembl.